GACUAGUUUCAUCUCCUUGCUAUCCAAAGGACUCUCAAGAGUCUUCUCUAGCACAACAGCUUGAAAGCAUCAAUUCUUUGGUGCUCAGCUUUUUUCAUGCUGGGAAGGCCCUAACUGAACACAGAGAAUGUUUGUGAGGGUCAGUGUGGCAGUGGUAAUCAAGCUGUCUGCAGGAUGUCAUGUGAUGCUCAUGCCAACUGUGAUGAGUGGAGACCAUUAGUCUACAAAUAAGGAAACAGGCUCAGAGGGCAUGCCUCCUUCUCUCUGGAAGCCGUUUCUGAUGACACCAGCCCAUUGUAGGUCCCCAGAGACGAGGAUCCUGUGUCUGUCUGCCUCAGCAUCGUGCCUUCGACAGAGAGCAUGGUAGUCGUUACAUAAGUAUCUCACGGAAGAGUGAAUGCACAGCAACACACCAGGGCAUGGCGGGGAUGGAAUCAAAUGGAUCCUGCAUCUCCUCUCGUCCUGGAGCUGUGUGACCUACUUUGAUGUUUAACACAAACUCACUUUGAGUCCAGUCCUCUGGGGUCUGCAUCUCACUUCCAUCACUUAUGACCUGUGUGACCUUGGGCACAGCGGGCCAGAGUCUGGGAGCCCCUUCCUCGUGGGUGCUGCCUCAGAGCCCCAGCUUCAGGGCUGAAUCUCUUGCUACCAUCAGACCCUUCAGGAAGCAUCACAGUUACCUUCCUCUCCAUCUUCCGAGGCACUCCCUCUGCUCCCAGGACCAGAAGCUCUGGGAGAGUAGAGACCACACGAGUUUCCUUCUGACUUUCCCAGACAUUGCCUGGCACUUUGCAGCAACCCCAUGACUGUUAUCUAAGUCAACUUUUUGACUCAUUCCAACCCCACAGCUACACAGCCACUAGCUGUGUCAUCUUUGGGAAUACAUGUCUUUCUAGUUUCACCUGUGAAAUGAGCUCAAGAGUAACUACUACUCACCAGAAAACACCAUCAAUGACUGGACACCUGUUUUCUUAUAUACCACUAAGAAAACAAACAAACAAACAAAAAAGAAUACUUCCGCAAACCUUUGACUCAAUGUUUUUAAUCUCUUGGAAUUUCAUUUUAUAUUUAAAAUUAUUUUAAAAUCUCUUUGAGAUUUAAUCCAUAUAGAUUUUAUCUCAUGUCACUCUUGCAUGCGUGUGUGCUAAGACGCUUCAGUUGUGUAUGACUCUCUGCGACCCGCUGGACUAUAGCCCACCAGGCUCUUCUAUCCAUGGGAUUCACCAGACAGGAAUACUGGAAUGGGUUGCCAGGCCCUCCUCCAGGGGAUCUUCUCAACCUAGGAAUCCAACCCACAUCUCUUAAGUCACCUGCAUUGGCAGCCGGGUUCUUUACCACUAGCCCCAACUGGGAAGCCCAUGUCACUCUCUGGCAUGAAUAAAAAGG
Bos taurus (domestic cattle) is the source of this 1386-nucleotide long non-coding RNA. NCBI's taxonomy places the organism in Eukaryota, Metazoa, Chordata, Mammalia, Artiodactyla, Bovidae. The record is from Ensembl.